This 347-nucleotide ribosomal RNA is filed under the name uncultured bacterium. RNAcentral describes it as "partial 16S ribosomal RNA". It matches the Rfam family "Bacterial small subunit ribosomal RNA", at positions 338 to 683 of the family's 1533-position model. The record is from RNAcentral.
CCUACGGGAGGCAGCAGUGAGGAAUAUUGGUCAAUGGCCGGAAGGCUGAACCAGCCAAGCCGCGUGAAGGACGAAGGUGCCAAGCAUUGUAAACUUCUUUUGUCAAGGGACAAAAUCAGGCUCGAGAGCCUGACCGAGGGUACUUGAAGAAAAAGCAGCGGCUAACUCCGUGCCAGCAGCCGCGGUAAUACGGAGGAUGCGAGCUUUAUCCGGAUGUAUUGGGUGUAAAGGGUGCGUAGGCGGACUGGUAAGUCAGCGGUAAAAGCCCGGGGCUCCACCCCGGCGAGCCGUUGAAACUGGCUGUCUUGAGCUGUCGAGCGGUCUGCGGAAUGCGCAUUGUAGCUGUG